This 492-nucleotide ribosomal RNA is filed under the name uncultured bacterium. RNAcentral describes it as "partial 16S ribosomal RNA". It matches the Rfam family "Bacterial small subunit ribosomal RNA", at positions 29 to 507 of the family's 1533-position model. The record is from RNAcentral.
AUUGAACGCUGGCGGCAUGCUUUACACAUGCAAGUCGAACGGUAACAGGCCUUCGGGUGCUGACGAGUGGCGAACGAGUGAGUAAUGCAUCGGAACGUACCCAGAGGUGGGGGAUAACGCAGCGAAAGCUGUGCUAAUACUGCAUGUGAUCUGAGGAUGAAAGCGGGGGACCGAGCAGCAAUGUUUGGCCUCGCGCCUUUGGAGCGGCCGAUGUCGGAUUAGCUAGUUGGUGGGGUAAAGGCCCACCAAGGCGACGAUCCGUAGCUGGUCUGAGAGGACGACCAGCCACACUGGGACUGAGACACGGCCCAGACUCCUACGGGAGGCAGCAGUGGGGAAUUUUGGACAAUGGGCGCAAGCCUGAUCCAGCAAUGCCGCGUGCGGGAAGAAGGCCUUCGGGUUGUAAACCGCUUUUGGCAGGAACGAAACGGUGUCCGCUAAUACCGGGCGCUAAUGACGGUACCUGCAGAAUAAGCACCGGCUAACUACGUG